This is a long non-coding RNA of Octopus sinensis (East Asian common octopus), 149 nucleotides long. RefSeq lists it as uncharacterized. The record is from RefSeq and is a predicted model, not a curated record. Lineage: Eukaryota; Metazoa; Mollusca; Cephalopoda; Octopoda; Octopodidae. The transcript is spliced from 3 exons.
UACAUGCAAAAAUGUGUUGCCGUGCUUGGUCACUGCAUUGACGUCACAAUUAGAUUGCAGUAACAGCUGUGUCACAGUAUACAACCUCACAGGCCAGAUAUAGGGGAGGUCUACUACAAAAAUCUUGAUUUUUCUUUUUCAAAGAGAAG